UUGGAGGGCAAGUCUGGUGCCAGCAGCCGCGGUAAUUCCAGCUCCAAUAGCGCAUAUUAAAGUUGUUGCAGUUAAAAAGCUCGUAGUUGAAUUUCGGGAUCAAUAUUUCGGUCAUGCCGUUGGUAUGCACUGUUAUCAUUGAUUUCUCACCUUCUAAAGAACCGUGAUGCCAUUAAUUUGGUGUUACGGGGAAUUAGGACUGUUACCUUGAAAAAAUUAGAGUGUUUAAAGCAGGCUCACGCUUGAAUACAUUAGCAUGGAAUAAUGAAAUAGGACAUCCGAUUCUAUUUUGUUGGUUUCUAGGAUCGAUGUAACGAUUAAUAGGGAUAGUUGGGGGCAUUAGUAUUCAAUUGUCAGAGGUGAAAUUCUUGGAUUUAUUGAAGACUAACUACUGCGAAAGCAUUUGCCAAGGAUGUUUUCAUUAAUCAAGAACGAAAGUUAGGGGAUCGAAGACGAUCAGAUACCGCCGUAGUCUUGACCAUAAACUAUACCGACUAGGGAUCGGAUGAUGUUAAUUUUUUAAUGACUCAUUCGGCGCCUUACGGGAAAC
RNAcentral lists this ribosomal RNA (550 nucleotides) under uncultured Glomeromycotina. Its description in RNAcentral is "SSU rRNA". It matches the Rfam family "Eukaryotic small subunit ribosomal RNA", at positions 548 to 1098 of the family's 1831-position model. Lineage: Eukaryota; Fungi; Glomeromycota. The record is from RNAcentral.